Molecule: ribosomal RNA, 253 nt
Filed under: uncultured bacterium
Lineage: Bacteria
Description: partial 16S ribosomal RNA
Rfam family: Bacterial small subunit ribosomal RNA
Source: RNAcentral
UGCAAAAGGUGCGAGCGUUAUUCAUAGUUACUGGGUGUAAAGGGUUCGUAGGCGGUGUGGCAAGUCGGGAGUGAAAUCUCUGGGCUCAACUCAGAGACUGCUUCCGAAACUGCUGUGCUGGAGUGUGGGAGAGGCGCGUGGAAUUGCAGGUGUAGCGGUGAAAUGCGUAGAUAUCUGCAGGAACACCCGUGGCGAAAGCGGCGCGCUGGACCACUACUGACGCUGAGGAACGAAAGCUAGGGGAGCAAACAGG